Molecule: long non-coding RNA, 395 nt
Filed under: Ananas comosus (pineapple)
Lineage: Eukaryota; Viridiplantae; Streptophyta; Magnoliopsida; Poales; Bromeliaceae
Description: long non-coding RNA (ACOM_LNC022053)
Source: RNAcentral
CUCUGCAAACAUAUUAAGUUAUAAAUAUAUCUCUACAAAGUUCAACUUUUAUAUAUUAUUUCUAUAAAAUUUCUAAUAUUUUCAAAUAUGUCCCUGCCGUUAGAAUUCGUAAGAAAAAUUUAGUUAACCAUAGAUUAACUACUUAAUUCUAAUUAGUUUUUGAUAUUUUUGCCCUCUUAUAUUAUACUGUUGUGGCUUUUAGAGGGAUUUAUCUGUGAUGGCAAAAUUUAAAAUAUAAAUAGUUUUCUAACGGUUCUCUAAUGAUAACAAAUUAAAUAAGUAUAUUUGAAAAUAUUAAAACUUUUGUAUGGACAACAUAUAAAAAUUAAAUUUUACAGAAAUAUAUUUGUAAUUCACUAUAUUUGCAGGAACUUGUAUGCAUUUAACCCCAAUUU